Molecule: RNA transcript, 481 nt
Organism: Lagenorhynchus albirostris (white-beaked dolphin)
Lineage: Eukaryota; Metazoa; Chordata; Mammalia; Artiodactyla; Delphinidae
Gene name: protein PET117 homolog, mitochondrial
Exons: 3
Source: RefSeq, a predicted model, not a curated record
GCUCGGCGGCGGCCCUGGCCCUGGGGCACGGGGAGCGGAGGCCGCGGCGGCGGGCGCUGGAAUGUCGGGGAGCUCGAAGGUGGUGCUGGGCCUCUCGGUGGUGCUGACGGCGGCCACCGUGGCGGGCGUGCAUAUGAAGCAGCGGCAGGACCAGCAGCAGCGGGAAAGAGGAGGACAAAUGUUUGACACGGUGGGUGUGUUGGAAGGUUCAAGGAAGCAAGAACUAAAACGAUGACUGUUGUCCCCCAUUGUUUCCUGACUGACUGCCACAUACCAGGCGCUGUUCUAAGCACUUUACGUACAUCAGCCUUGAUCAUCACAGGAGCCCAACAAAACCAGCAAGGCUUCGUGACGGAGUGAUCAGAGACAUUGAGAGGCAAAAUCGGAAAAAAGAAAAUAUUCGUCUUUUGGGAGAACAGAUUCUUCUGACUGAGCAACUUGAAGCAGAAAGAGAGAAGAUGGUGUUGGCAAAAGGAUCUCA